CAAUUGAACGCUGCGGCAGGCCUAACACAUGCAAGUCGAGCGGAAACGASUUAUCUGAACCUUCGGGGAACGWUAAGGGCGUCGAGCGGCGGACGGGUGAGUAAUGCCUAGGAAAUUGCCUUGAUGUGGGGGAUAACCAUUGGAAACGAUGGCUAAUACCGCAUAAUGCCUACGGGCCAAAGAGGGGGACCUUCGGGCCUCUCGCGUCAAGAUAUGCCUAGGUGGGAUUAGCUAGUUGGUGAGGUAAUGGCUCACCAAGGCGACGAUCCCUAGCUGGUCUGAGAGGAUGAUCAGCCACACUGGAACUGAGACACGGUCCAGACUCCUACGGGAGGCAGCAGUGGGGAAUAUUGCACAAUGGGCGAAAGCCUGAUGCAGCCAUGCCGCGUGUAUGAAGAAGGCCUUCGGGUUGUAAARUACUUUCAGUUGUGAGGAAGGGGGUGUCGUUAAUAGCGGCAUCUCUUGACGUUA
This 471-nucleotide ribosomal RNA is filed under the name Vibrio chagasii. RNAcentral describes it as "bacterial SSU rRNA". It matches the Rfam family "Bacterial small subunit ribosomal RNA", at positions 30 to 477 of the family's 1533-position model. Lineage: Bacteria; Pseudomonadati; Pseudomonadota; Gammaproteobacteria; Vibrionales; Vibrionaceae. The record is from RNAcentral.